CCUACGGGGGGCAGCAGUGGGGGAUAUUGCACAAUGGGGGGAACCCUGAUGCAGCGACGCCGCGUGGGUGAAGAAGCGCCUCGGCGCGUAAAGCCCUGUCAGCAGGGAAGAAAAUGACGGUACCUGAAGAAGAAGCCCCGGCUAACUACGUGCCAGCAGCCGCGGUAAUACGUAGGGGGCAAGCGUUAUCCGGAUUUACUGGGUGUAAAGGGGGCGCAGACGGCGGUGCAAGCCAGGAGUGAAAGCCCGGGGCCCAACCCCGGGACUGCUCUUGGAACUGCGUGGCGAGAGUGCAGGAGGGGCAGGCGGAAUUCCUGGUGUAGCGGUGAAAUGCGUAGAUAUCAGGAGGAACACCGGUGGCGAAGGCGGCCUGCUGGACUGCAACUGACGUUGAGGCCCGAAAGCGUGGGGAGCAAACAGGAUUAGAUACCCUUGUAGUC
This 440-nucleotide ribosomal RNA is filed under the name uncultured bacterium. RNAcentral describes it as "partial 16S ribosomal RNA". It matches the Rfam family "Bacterial small subunit ribosomal RNA", at positions 338 to 795 of the family's 1533-position model. The record is from RNAcentral.